RNAcentral lists this long non-coding RNA (457 nucleotides) under Mustela putorius furo (domestic ferret). RNAcentral describes it as "lncRNA (ENSMPUG00000029203.1)". Lineage: Eukaryota; Metazoa; Chordata; Mammalia; Carnivora; Mustelidae. The record is from RNAcentral.
CCUCACAGCUUCAAUACUCUGUUGGGGCUGCUGGCUCCCUCAUCUAAACAGGGAAACCUCCAGCCUGGAGCUCCCUGCACCAGUCCUCAGAAUCCUCCUCUGAAAGAGCUGACCUUAAAAGAAGCAGACUCAGAAGUUGCCCGUCCAAAGGAAUGUGGUUAUUCCAAGGAGGAGAAAGGUUUACCACAGCUGAUCAAAGAAAAUAGACCCAGAAUAAGAAAUUUUCCACUUGGAUAUGGGGAACCAGAAAAUACAUUCAGCAAGCUGAUCCCAGUACCCUGAGACGAGAAAUUAGACAUCUGGAAACUGUGGCAAGCACCAGAAAGUCUGAAUCAAACCAAGCCUGGAUCAGCCACUCAUCAGCUGGGUGGCCUUUAGCAAUUCUCUUGAUUUUUCUGGGUUGCAGUUUUAUCAUCUGUGCAACAAAGAGGUUUGACAAAUAUACUGGCAGUUCUAU